GGUGGUUCAGUGGUAGAGCACCUGCCUUGCAUGUAUGAGGCCCUGGGUUCGAUUCCCCAGCACCA
RNAcentral lists this transfer RNA (65 nucleotides) under Dipodomys ordii (Ord's kangaroo rat). It matches the Rfam family "tRNA". From Rfam's summary of the family: Transfer RNA (tRNA) molecules are approximately 80 nucleotides in length. Lineage: Eukaryota; Metazoa; Chordata; Mammalia; Rodentia; Heteromyidae. The record is from Rfam by way of RNAcentral.